GACCCCAUGGCCCAAUGGAUAAGGUGCUGGUCUAUGAAAUCAGAGAUUCUGGGUUCGAUUCCCAUAGAGUCA
Molecule: transfer RNA, 72 nt
Filed under: Ipomoea nil (Japanese morning glory)
Lineage: Eukaryota; Viridiplantae; Streptophyta; Magnoliopsida; Solanales; Convolvulaceae
Rfam family: tRNA
About the family: Transfer RNA (tRNA) molecules are approximately 80 nucleotides in length. Their secondary structure includes four short double-helical elements and three loops (D, anti-codon, and T loops).
Source: Rfam by way of RNAcentral